Long non-coding RNA from Sycon ciliatum, 466 nucleotides. RefSeq lists it as uncharacterized. The transcript has 6 exons. The record is from RefSeq and is a predicted model, not a curated record. Lineage: Eukaryota; Metazoa; Porifera; Calcarea; Leucosolenida; Sycettidae.
GAGUUUGUGGAAUAAUAAACUUGUUUACCUACCUGCCGGGCUGUUUGACGCGACAACCGAAUUGAAAUACCUAGUUUUGCGCAGAAAUGAACUUGUUCACCUACCUGCCGGGCUGUUCAAAGCCACAACCAAAUUAGAAAAACUGUAUUUGCAAUAUAAUAAUCUCCGCUAUCUUCCCGGUGGACUGCCUCAUGACACACCUCACUUAAUUCAUCUAUCUCUUCACAGCGCAGUUUCACUCAACCUUCGCUUGUGUGCUCUCAAGUUCCCGAAGGAUUUUUCACAAGGCACCAUCUUAGGUGGAUAUAAUGUAAAGAAUUAUAUUGCUUCAAAUUUGAAUGAGCCCAUUUGCAGGCAAGACUGUGGCAUCAUUUCCUCACUGGACAAAUGCUCUUCGUGUACCGGUUAUCUGUUCAACUACACUUGCCUAGAGCGAGACGAAUGUCUACAUCAGAUUCAUAAUUGC